UACGAAGGUCCCAAGCGUUAUCCGGAUUUAUUGGGUUUAAAGGGUGCGUAGGCGGGCUAUUAAGUCAGUGGUGAAAGCCCCAAGCUUAACUUGGGAACUGCCAUUGAUACUGAUGGUCUUGAGUACAUUUGAGGUGGGCGGAAUGUGUCAUGUAGCGGUGAAAUGCUUAGAUAUGACACAGAACACCGAUUGCGAAGGCAGCUCACUAAACUGUAACUGAC
RNAcentral lists this ribosomal RNA (221 nucleotides) under uncultured bacterium. RNAcentral's name for it is "partial 16S ribosomal RNA". It matches the Rfam family "Bacterial small subunit ribosomal RNA", at positions 524 to 744 of the family's 1533-position model. The record is from RNAcentral.